RNAcentral lists this ribosomal RNA (460 nucleotides) under uncultured bacterium. Its description in RNAcentral is "partial 16S ribosomal RNA". It matches the Rfam family "Bacterial small subunit ribosomal RNA", at positions 338 to 795 of the family's 1533-position model. The record is from RNAcentral.
CCUACGGGUGGCUGCAGUGAGGAAUAUUGGUCAAUGGGCGUAAGCCUGAACCAGCCAAGUCGCGUGAGGGAUGAAGGUUCUAUGGAUCGUAAACCUCUUUUAUAAGGGAAUAAAGUGUGGGACGUGUCCUGUUUUGUAUGUACCUUAUGAUUAAGGAUCGGCUAACCCCGUGCUAGCAGCCGCGGUAAUACGGUGGAUCCGAGGGUUAUCCGGGUUUAUUGGGUUUAAAGGGGGCGUAGGUGGCCUUUUAAGUCAGCGGGGAAAGUCUGUGGCUCAACCAUAGAAUUGCCGUUGAAACUGGGAGGCUUGAGUAUGUUAGAGGCAAGCGGAAUGCGUGGUGAAGCGGUGAAAUGCUUAGAUAUCACGCAGAACCCCGAUGGCGAAGGCAGCCUGCCAAGCCAUGACUGACGCUGAUGCACGAAAGCGUGGGGAUCAAACAGGAUUAGAUACCCUAGUAGUC